Canis lupus familiaris (dog) is the source of this 3173-nucleotide RNA transcript. It is a transcript of the gene named meiosis 1 associated protein, with no coding region annotated. The transcript has 12 exons. Lineage: Eukaryota; Metazoa; Chordata; Mammalia; Carnivora; Canidae. The record is from RefSeq and is a predicted model, not a curated record.
GUAGACGCCGAGGCGGCCCCGGAGGCUGCGCGCGCAGUGAGCAGCCCUGCGCAGACGACCUCCGUCUGACCCGCGCUUUCCUCGGCGCAGGCGCACUCCGAUAGCCAGGAGGCCCAGGUAUAGAGAAUAUCCAGGUAGUGGCUUCAGUUCCACUUCUGGUCUGUAACCAUGUAUCAUGGACGAAGUAGUGGUAAAGGACCCUCUAAUCCCGCGCAGCUUUACCAGCAACCUCCAAGGCUUCUCAUUGUGCAAAUUGCUCUACAUUCCUGGGCUGACAUACGCUCCAACCUCUGUGAGGCUCUGCAGAACUUUUUCUCUCUAGCCUGCAGCUUGAUGGGCCCCAGCCGCAUGUCCCUCUUCAGCUUAUAUGUGGUGCAAAAUCAGCACGAGUGUAUCCUUCCCUUUGUGCAAGUGAAAGGGAAUUUUGCAAGGCUGCAGGCCUGCAUCUCAGAACUCCGCAUGUUGCAGAGAGAAGGCUGUUUCAGACCACAUGGCACUUCUCUGCAGCUGGCAGUACAGGAUGGGCUCCAGCAGUUCAAACAGUACAGCAGACACGUGACCACAGGUACAUCUCUGAGCUAUACUUCCCUGGAGAUUACUGUUCUGACUUCUCAGCCUGGAAAAAAGGUGGUGAGACAAUUGGAGGAAGGACUGAAAGAUACAGACCUAAUCAGGGUCAGGAGACUUCAGGUGGUUGAGAUCACAAAGGGAGUCCUAGAGUAUAUGGACUCAGGAUCCCCUGUUGAAGAGCCUAGCAGCGACGAGAGUUCUAUCCUGGGAACUGACAUUGACCUUCAGACUAUAGACAAUGAUGUUGUCAGCAUGGAGAUUUUCUUUAAAGCCUGGCUACAUUACAGUGGAACGGACCAAGAACAUAUCCAUCUUCUUCUUCCUUCACGGUGUUUCAGCAACAUUUCCAGAGCCAAAGAUGAUUCAAUGUGCCUGAAAUGUGAUCUCCAAGAGCGACUCCUCAGCCCGUCCCUACUCCCUGGCACAGCUGAUGGCUCCUUGAGAAUGGAUGACCCCAAAGGAGACUUCAGCACACUCUACCAGAUGGCCUCCCAGUCAUCAGCCUCUUGUUACAAGCUCCGGGUGAUCAAGGCUCUAAAUUCCAGUGGGAUCUGCGAGUCAUUGACAUAUGGACUGCCCUUCAUCCUUAGACCCACAAGCUGUUGGCAGCUGGACUGGGAUGAGCUGGAGACAAAUCAGCAGCAUUUCCAUGCUUUGUGUCACAGCCUGCUGAAAAGAGAGUGGCUGCUAUUGGCCAAAGGGGAGCCCCUGAGUGGAGGACAUAGCCAGAGAGAGCCUACCAGCACCUUCUAUGUGAUUGUGCCAUCGCGCUCACCCACCCUACUGGUGAAGGCAGUGGCCACACGGGAACUGCUACUGCCGAGCCCUUUCCCCCUGCUGCCUGAGGACCCACCGGAUGACAGCCUUAAGAUUGUGGAGAGCAUGCUGGACAGCCUGGAGCUAGAGCCCACCUACAACCCCUUGCAAGCUCGGAGCCACCUGUACUCAUACCUGAGCAGCACCUUUACCAAGCCUCAGGGCCGGCUCCACCCAAGCUGGGAGAGCCAGGCCCUGAGAAAGCAUCCCUUCAAGGCCGGGCAGUUGCAGACAAGCCGAGUUCGAGUCACAGUAGCCCCCUUGCCUAUGAUCCCAACUCCCAGCAGAGCCCCCAAGAUGCCAGCAGCCAGCAAGCCUUCCUCAGAAGCCUUCUUCUGGCCUUCCAAGGAGGGAGUGGCAGAGGAGAAGGAGGAGGAGUACCUCUCCGGGCUCUAGGUCCCCAGCACCAGAGCCCCGCUGCCCUGCUCAACCAUAUCCAUACUAAGGCUCACACAACGAAUAGUUUUUUUGUGGUCAGACUGGCCUUCUGUCCACUUGAGCCUCUGUGACCUCCAGGUGACUGGGAAACAGAGCCUUCCCCUCCUGUCUUCUGUGCCACUACUGCCCCACUGCUCAGGCCUGGAAGAGACACACCUGAACUUUUUCCUUUUCCAGGCAGGAGCUCAUUUUCAUUUUCUUUUGGAUCAUUUGAUACCACUAACACAGAUGAAGAUUAAAUACCCAAGGGGCACCGAGGGCAAAUGAGAGUUGCAGAUGUUUUAGAGCUCGCCCAGCAUCACAGAGACAGUCUCAAGCCCAAGUGGGCCUCACUGGACCACCGAGGCUCUCAACAAUCACACUGCUCAGCUCACCUCCCUGAGACUCCUUCCUCUUUAUGUGGCCCCCAGUACAUUCUCCUGACCCCUCCACACCAACCCAGCACACCCUGCCACCAUGUCCCAUCUGUGACUAUUCACACACAUAGACCUUUUAAACCCAAGCUGACUUUAAUGAGAAUAAACUUCUUAAAAUCUGUCUCUGGCAAAGAACAAAACAGGGGUGACGAUCCAGGCACAGUCCAGCAUCACCCUGUAGCCUCCAUUCAGCCCCCUCAAACUGUACCAACCCAGACAAAGCCCCCAUUGUCAUAGACCUGGUCCAGCAGCUGUCCAUUCCUUUGGGGAGGAUGACUUGGGGGUGCUGGUCUCUCUCAGGCCCCAUCCUUCACCUCUGCCAUCUGUCCCACUUCCAGGACUUCUUGAGAUUGAUCAUCCUUCCCCUGACUCCCCUGAUCCCUCUGGUCCCCUGGGCUGGCUUACAGGGGACCCUCCAGCCCUCUGGUUCCUGCAGGCUCUAAUACGUUUCUUUGAUCCCCAGUACCACCUCCCUGUGGGGGUCCUAUCAGCAACCCCCGCCUCACCCUACCUCUCACGUGGAGCCUUCUGCCUGGACUCCAGUCCUGUUAGCCCCUGCUCUAGACAGCUCACAGUCCCAGCUUCCUGAGGCACUGCUCUUCUGGACCUGGCUGUACAAGGCAGUGUCUGCGCUGUGGCCCUUGCUGCCAUUGCCCAUUGCAGCUCCAGGUUCAGAGAGGGCUAAGCCCCGGGGCUUAGGACCUGGGAGAGGCUUUGUGCUCCGAGGAGGUGGCACCUCGUAGUCAUCAGUGGCAGGGUUGUAGGGGAGCUCAUAACCCUCCUCCUUCACCCGAGCCUGGCACCACCAUGCAUCCUUGGGCUCCUGAGGCAGAUCAUAAAGGCCCCGGAGAGCAGCUGGGGCCAAGCCCUCAGGUUCAUCAUAGAUGGGGUCCUCUUUGGGGUCCGUCAGCUUGGCCUUCAGCAACUGCUGCU